RNAcentral lists this ribosomal RNA (451 nucleotides) under uncultured bacterium. RNAcentral describes it as "partial 16S ribosomal RNA". It matches the Rfam family "Bacterial small subunit ribosomal RNA", at positions 29 to 523 of the family's 1533-position model. The record is from RNAcentral.
AGCGAACGCUGGCGGCAGGCUUAACACAUGCAAGUCGAGCGGGCAUAGCAAUAUGUCAGCGGCAGACGGGUGAGUAACGCGUGGGAACGUACCUUUUGGUUCGGAACAACACAGGGAAACUUGUGCUAAUACCGGAUAAGCCCUUACGGGGAAAGAUUUAUCGCCGAAAGAUGGGCCCGCGUCUGAUUAGCUAGUUGGUGAGGUAAUGGCUCACCAAGGGGACGAUCAGUAGCUGGUCUGAGAGGAUGAUCAGCCACAAUGGGACUGAGACACGGCCCGAACUCCUACGGGAGGCAGCAGUGGGGAAUAUUGGACAAUGGGCGCAAGCCUGAUCCAGCCAUGCCGCGUGAGUGAUGAAGGCCCUAGGGUUGUAAAGCUCUUUUGUGCGGGAAGAUAAUGACGGUACCGCAAGAAUAAGCCCCGGCUAACUUCGUGCCAGCCGCCGCCGUAA